This 337-nucleotide ribosomal RNA is filed under the name Blastocystis sp. subtype 1. RNAcentral's name for it is "SSU rRNA". It matches the Rfam family "Eukaryotic small subunit ribosomal RNA", at positions 21 to 369 of the family's 1831-position model. The record is from RNAcentral. Lineage: Eukaryota; Bigyra; Opalinata; Blastocystidae.
GGUUAGUAGUCAUACGCUCGUCUCAAAGAUUAAGCCAUGCAUGUGUAAGUGUAAAUAUCAAAGUUUGGAACUGCGAAUGGCUCAUUAUAUCAGUUAUAGUUUAUUUGGUGAAGUGUACUACUUGGAUAACCGUAGUAAUUCUAGGGCUAAUACAUGAGAAAGUCCUCUGGUGAGGUGUGUUUAUUAGAAUGAAAACCAUAUGCUUCGGCAUGAUAGUGAGUAAUAGUAACCUAUCGUAUCGCAUGCUUAAUGUAGCGAUGAGUCUUUCAAGUUUCUGCCCUAUCAGCUUUCGAUGGUAGUAUAUGGGCCUACCAUGGCAGUAACGGGUAACGAAGAA